This 581-nucleotide ribosomal RNA is filed under the name uncultured Sphingobium sp. RNAcentral's name for it is "bacterial SSU rRNA". The stretch from base 1 to 515 matches the Rfam family "Bacterial small subunit ribosomal RNA", at positions 1016 to 1533 of the family's 1533-position model. The record is from RNAcentral. Lineage: Bacteria; Pseudomonadati; Pseudomonadota; Alphaproteobacteria; Sphingomonadales; Sphingobiaceae.
CAGUUCGGCUGGAUGAGUGACAGGUGCUGCAUGGCUGUCGUCAGCUCGUGUCGUGAGAUGUUGGGUAAGUCCCGCAACGAGCGCAACCCUCGCCUUUAGUUGCCAUCAUUUAGUUGGGUACUUUAAAGGAACCGCCGGUGAUAAGCCGGAGGAAGGUGGGGAUGACGUCAAGUCCUCAUGGCCCUUACGCGUUGGGCUACACACGUGCUACAAUGGCGACUACAGUGGGCAGCGACCAUGCGGGUGGAAGCUAAUCUCCAAAAGUCGUCUCAGUUCGGAUUGUUCUCUGCAACUCGAGAGCAUGAAGGCGGAAUCGCUAGUAAUCGCGGAUCAGCAUGCCGCGGUGAAUACGUUCCCAGGCCUUGUACACACCGCCCGUCACACCAUGGGAGUUGGUUUCACCCGAAGGCAGUGCGCUAACCGCAAGGAGGCAGCUGACCACGGUGGGAUCAGCGACUGGGGUGAAGUCGUAACAAGGUAGCCCUAGGGGAACCUGGGGCUGGAUCACCUCCUUAAGCUUGGAUCCCGGGAUCCGAAUUCGUCGACAACAGAGUUUGAUCCUGGCUCAGAAUUCGACAACC